UGAGCAAUCUGCCCUUCUCUUCGGAAUAAGCGUGGGAAACCGCGUCUAAUGCCGAAUACGACCUCCUUUCGCAUGAUCGGAGGUGGAAAGCUCCGGCGGAGAAGGAUGAGCUCGCGGCCUAUCAGCUUGUUGGUGAGGUAAUGGCUCACCAAGGCGACGACGGGUAGCCGGCCUGAGAGGGUGACCGGCCACACUGGGACUGAGACACGGCCCAGACUCCUACGGGAGCAG
Molecule: ribosomal RNA, 231 nt
Filed under: uncultured bacterium
Lineage: Bacteria
Description: partial 16S ribosomal RNA
Rfam family: Bacterial small subunit ribosomal RNA
Source: RNAcentral